RNAcentral lists this ribosomal RNA (145 nucleotides) under uncultured bacterium. RNAcentral describes it as "partial 16S rRNA". It matches the Rfam family "Bacterial small subunit ribosomal RNA", at positions 352 to 511 of the family's 1533-position model. The record is from RNAcentral.
UGGGGGAAGUUUUUCCGUCAAUGGGCGAAAGCCUGAUGGAGCAAUGCCGCGUGGAGGUGGAAGGCCUACGGGUCGUCAACUUCUUUUCUCGGAGAAGAAACAAUGACGGUAUCUGAGGAAUAAGCAUCGGCUAACUCUGUGUCAG